UAAGGAAUAUUGGUCAAUGGACGCAAGUCUGAACCAGCCAUGCCGCGUGGAGGAUGAAGGUCCUCUGGAUUGUAAACUUCUUUUAUCUGGGACGAAACACUUCUUUUCUAAGAGGCCUGACGGUACCAGAUGAAUAAGCACCGGCUAACUCCGUGCCAGCAGCCGCGGUAAUACGGAGGGUGCAAGCGUUAUCCGGAUUCACUGGGUUUUAAGGGUGCGUAGGUGGGCAGAUAAGUCAGUGGUGAAAUUUUCCGGCUUAACCGGGAAACUGCCGUUGAUACUAUUUGUCUUGAAUAUUGCGGAGGUAAGCGGAAUAUGUCAUGUAGCGGUGAAAUGCUUAGAUAUGACAUAGAACACCAAUUGCGAAGGCAGCUUACUACACAAUCAUUGACACUGAGGCACGAAAGCGUGGGUAGC
Molecule: ribosomal RNA, 417 nt
Filed under: uncultured bacterium
Lineage: Bacteria
Description: bacterial SSU rRNA
Rfam family: Bacterial small subunit ribosomal RNA
Source: RNAcentral